UACGUAGGUGGCAAGCGUUGUCCGGAUUUACUGGGCGUAAAGGGCGCGUAGGCGGCCAGCACAAGUCAGUUGUGAAAUCUCCGAGCUUAACUCGGAAAGGUCAACUGAUACUGUGCGGCUAGAGUGCAGAAGGGGCAACUGGAAUUCUCGGUGUAGCGGUGAAAUGCGUAGAUAUCGAGAGGAACACCUGCGGCGAAGGCGGGUUGCUGGGCUGACACUGACGCUGAGGCGCGAAAGCUAGGGGAGCGAACGGG
This 254-nucleotide ribosomal RNA is filed under the name uncultured bacterium. Its description in RNAcentral is "partial 16S ribosomal RNA". It matches the Rfam family "Bacterial small subunit ribosomal RNA", at positions 524 to 776 of the family's 1533-position model. The record is from RNAcentral.